Molecule: long non-coding RNA, 435 nt
Filed under: Sparus aurata (gilthead seabream)
Lineage: Eukaryota; Metazoa; Chordata; Actinopteri; Spariformes; Sparidae
Description: lncRNA (ENSSAUG00010020979.1)
Source: RNAcentral
GCAUUGUGCAUGCUUUCCUGUUAAAUGCAAAUCAGCUGUGUUCACUGUCUUUCUGUCUGUGCUCUGGCUCCAACAGGUGGCACAGGACGAGGCAGCUGCAGCGAGCUCCAGGACAAGGAGGAGCUCUUGCAGCAGGGGUCUCCUCCUGAACACAGUGAUCGUAUCACCGAGGAGUCCUGCGACGCCCCCUGCGCUGCUGAAAGUCUUUUUAUUUUCCCACACACCCGCUCGCGCCCCUCGCUGCCCCCCACCAUGCCAACGCUGCCGGAAGAAGAAGAGGACUCCCCCGAGGAUCUGGACAGUUCCUCCAGCUCCCCCAGUACAUUGACACCAGGUGAAAGUCGAGCUGUCGUCAUGAAUGCCCCCACCAUCGUCUACCCACAGCAGGCCACUAUUGUCCAACAAGAUGGACGACCCCUCGAGCAGGCCAGGUAA